This 74-nucleotide transfer RNA is filed under the name Candidatus Saccharimonadota bacterium. RNAcentral's name for it is "tRNA-Cys". It matches the Rfam family "tRNA". Rfam says of the family: Transfer RNA (tRNA) molecules are approximately 80 nucleotides in length. Their secondary structure includes four short double-helical elements and three loops (D, anti-codon, and T loops). The record is from RNAcentral. Lineage: Bacteria; Candidatus Saccharimonadota.
GGUGCUAUGGCGGAGUGGUGACGCAGCGGUCUGCAAAACCGCGUACGCCGGUUCAAUUCCGGCUGGCACCUCCA